RNAcentral lists this ribosomal RNA (369 nucleotides) under uncultured bacterium. Its description in RNAcentral is "partial 16S ribosomal RNA". It matches the Rfam family "Bacterial small subunit ribosomal RNA", at positions 338 to 724 of the family's 1533-position model. The record is from RNAcentral.
CCUACGGGUGGCAGCAGUGGGGAAUAUUGCUCAAUGGGCGAAACCCUGAUCCAGCCACGCCGCGUGAGUGAAGAAGUCUCUCGGUAUGUUAAGCUCUAUUAGCCGGGGAGAAAAUGACGGUACCUGAUUAAGACGCCCCGGCUACCUAAGUGCAAGCAGCCGCGGGAAUCCGUAGGGUGCAAGCGUUAUCCGGGUUUACUCGGGGUGAAGGGCGGGUAGACGGGAGCACAAGUCUGGAGUGAAAUGCCGGGGGUUAACCCCGGAACGGCUGUUGAAACUGUGGAGCUUGAGGGCAGGAGAGGAAAGUGGAAUGACUGGUGUAGCGGUGAAAUGCGUAGAUAUUAGGCGGAAAACCAGUGGCGAAGGCGG